This 693-nucleotide ribosomal RNA is filed under the name Escherichia coli. RNAcentral's name for it is "partial 23S ribosomal RNA". It matches the Rfam family "Bacterial large subunit ribosomal RNA", at positions 419 to 1112 of the family's 2925-position model. Lineage: Bacteria; Pseudomonadati; Pseudomonadota; Gammaproteobacteria; Enterobacterales; Enterobacteriaceae. The record is from RNAcentral.
GGGACACGUGGUAUCCUGUCUGAAUAUGGGGGGACCAUCCUCCAAGGCUAAAUACUCCUGACUGACCGAUAGUGAACCAGUACCGUGAGGGAAAGGCGAAAAGAACCCCGGCGAGGGGAGUGAAAAAGAACCUGAAACCGUGUACGUACAAGCAGUGGGAGCACGCUUAGGCGUGUGACUGCGUACCUUUUGUAUAAUGGGUCAGCGACUUAUAUUCUGUAGCAAGGUUAACCGAAUAGGGGAGCCGAAGGGAAACCGAGUCUUAACUGGGCGUUAAGUUGCAGGGUAUAGACCCGAAACCCGGUGAUCUAGCCAUGGGCAGGUUGAAGGUUGGGUAACACUAACUGGAGGACCGAACCGACUAAUGUUGAAAAAUUAGCGGAUGACUUGUGGCUGGGGGUGAAAGGCCAAUCAAACCGGGAGAUAGCUGGUUCUCCCCGAAAGCUAUUUAGGUAGCGCCUCGUGAAUUCAUCUCCGGGGGUAGAGCACUGUUUCGGCAAGGGGGUCAUCCCGACUUACCAACCCGAUGCAAACUGCGAAUACCGGAGAAUGUUAUCACGGGAGACACACGGCGGGUGCUAACGUCCGUCGUGAAGAGGGAAACAACCCAGACCGCCAGCUAAGGUCCCAAAGUCAUGGUUAAGUGGGAAACGAUGUGGGAAGGCCCAGACAGCCAGGAUGUUGGCUUAGAAG